UACGUAGGGGGCUAGCGUUGUCCGGAAUCAUUGGGCGUAAAGCGCGUGUAGGCGGUCCGGUAAGUCCGCUGUGAAAGUCGGGGGCUCAACCCUCGAAUGCCGGUGGAUACUGUCGGGCUAGAGUGCGGAAGAGGCGAGUGGAAUUCCUGGUGUAGCGGUGAAAUGCGCAGAUAUCAGGAGGAACACCAAUUGCGAAGGCAGCUCGCUGGGACGUUACUGACGCUGAGACGCGAAAGCGUGGGGAGCAAACAGG
This 253-nucleotide ribosomal RNA is filed under the name uncultured bacterium. Its description in RNAcentral is "partial 16S ribosomal RNA". It matches the Rfam family "Bacterial small subunit ribosomal RNA", at positions 524 to 776 of the family's 1533-position model. RNAcentral also lists the same sequence under 1 other name. The record is from RNAcentral.